UGGGGAAUAUUGCACAAUGGGCGCAAGCCUGAUGCAGCAACGCCGCGUGAACGAUGAAGGUAUUCGGAUUGUAAAGUUCUGUUGCAGGGGAAGAUAAUGACGGUACCCUGUGAGGAAGCUCCGGCUAACUACGUGCCAGCAGCCGCGGUAAUACGUAGGGGGCUAGCGUUAUCCGGAUUUACUGGGCGUAAAGGGUGCGUAGGUGGUCCUUCAAGUCGGUGGUUAAAGGCUACGGCUCCACCGUAGUAAGCUGCCGAAACUGGAGGACUUGAGUGCAGGAGAGGAAAGUGGAAUUCCCAGUGUAGCGGUAAAAUGCGUAGAUAUUGGGAGGAACACCAGUAGCGAAGGCGGCUUUCUGGACUGCAACUGACACUGAGGCACGAAAGCGUGGGUAGCAAACAGG
This 403-nucleotide ribosomal RNA is filed under the name Verrucomicrobiota bacterium. Its description in RNAcentral is "Verrucomicrobia bacterium partial 16S ribosomal RNA". It matches the Rfam family "Bacterial small subunit ribosomal RNA", at positions 355 to 776 of the family's 1533-position model. Lineage: Bacteria; Pseudomonadati; Verrucomicrobiota. The record is from RNAcentral.